This 446-nucleotide ribosomal RNA is filed under the name uncultured bacterium. Its description in RNAcentral is "partial 16S ribosomal RNA". It matches the Rfam family "Bacterial small subunit ribosomal RNA", at positions 338 to 795 of the family's 1533-position model. The record is from RNAcentral.
CCUACGGGGGGCAGCAGUCGAGAAUCAUUCACAAUGGGGGAAACCCUGAUGGUGCGACGCCGCGUGGGGGAAUGAAGGUCUCCGGUCUGUAAACUCUUGUCAUGUGGGAGCAAAUUAAAAAGAUAGUACCAUAAGAGGAAGAGACUGCUAACUCUGUGCCAGCAGCCGCGGUAAUACAGAGGUCUCAAGCGUUGUUCGGAAUCACUGGGCGUAUAGCGUGCGUAGGCGGUUUCGUAAGUCGUGUGUGAAAGGCGCGGGCUCAACCCGCGGACGGCACAUGAUACUGCGAGACUAGAGUAAAGGAGGGGGAACCGGAAUUCUCGGUGUAGCGGUGAAAUGCGUAGAUAUCGGGAGGAACACUCGUGGCGAAGGCGGGUUCCUGGACAGUAACUGACGCUGAGGCACGAAGGCCUGGGGAGCGAAAGGGAUUAGAUACCCCUGUAGUC